Molecule: ribosomal RNA, 389 nt
Filed under: uncultured bacterium
Lineage: Bacteria
Description: bacterial SSU rRNA
Rfam family: Bacterial small subunit ribosomal RNA
Source: RNAcentral
UAACACAUGCAAGUCGAACGUGAAGCUGACUUCGGUUGGCGGAAAGUGGCGGACGGGUGAGUAACACGUAAGUAACCUGCCUCGGAGUGGGGGAUAACCAUUAGAAAUGAUGGCUAAUACCGCAUGGUUUUGCUAAGAUGGGAAUCUUGGCAAAUAAAGCUCAGGCGCUUUGAGAGGGGCUUGCGUCCGAUUAGUUAGUUGGUGGGGUAAAGGCCUACCAAGGCGAUGAUCGGUAGCUGGUCUGAGAGGACGAUCAGCCACACGGGAACUGAGACACGGUCCCGACUCCUACGGGGGGCAGCAGUGAGGAAUAUUCGUCAAUGGGGGCAACCCUGAACGAGCAACGCCGCGUGGAGGAAGAAGGCCUUGGGUUGUAAACUCCUUUCUGU